GGCCAGACUCCUACGGGAGGCAGCAGUGGGGGAUAUUGCACAAUGGGGGGAACCCUGAUGCAGCGACGCCGCGUGGGUGAAGGAGUGCUUCGGCAUGUAAAGCCCUAUCGGCAGGGAAGAAGCAAGACGGUACCUGACUAAGAAGCCCCGGCUAACUACGUGCCAGCAGCCGCGGUAAUACGUAGGGGGCAAGCGUUAUCCGGAUUUACUGGGUGUAAAGGGAGCGCAGACGGCAGUGCAAGUCUGGAGUGAAAGCCCGGGGCCCAACCCCGGAACUGCUCUGGAAACUGUGCGGCUAGAGUACUGGAGGGGCAGGCGGAAUUCCUAGUGUAGCGGUGAAAUGCGUAGAUAUUAGGAGGAACACCAGUGGCGAAGGCGGCCUGCUGGACAGUAACUGACGUUGAGGCUCGAAAGCGUGGGGAGCAAACAGGAUUAGAUACCCGUGUA
Molecule: ribosomal RNA, 447 nt
Filed under: uncultured bacterium
Lineage: Bacteria
Description: partial 16S ribosomal RNA
Rfam family: Bacterial small subunit ribosomal RNA
Source: RNAcentral